This 253-nucleotide ribosomal RNA is filed under the name uncultured bacterium. Its description in RNAcentral is "partial 16S ribosomal RNA". It matches the Rfam family "Bacterial small subunit ribosomal RNA", at positions 524 to 776 of the family's 1533-position model. The record is from RNAcentral.
UACAGAGGUCCCAAGCGUUGUUCGGAUUCAUUGGGCGUAAAGGGUGUGUAGGUGGCGCCGUAAGUCGGGUGUGAAAUUUCGGAGCUUAACUCCGAAACUGCAUUCGAUACUGCGGUGCUUGAGGACUGGAGAGGAGACUGGAAUUUACGGUGUAGCAGUGAAAUGCGUAGAUAUCGUAAGGAAGACCAGUGGCGAAGGCGAAUCUCUGGACAGUUACUGACACUGAGGCACGAAGGCCAGGGGAGCAAACGGG